GUGAAGCGGCAAAUUACAAUGAUCAUUGGAUUUCUUCUGCAAUUCAAUCACUGAAGAAGGCAUCACCUACAAGCCUUAGAAUUUCUCUAAGAUCGGCAUGUUACUAGUCCUAAAUGAAAUUG
Long non-coding RNA from Ipomoea nil (Japanese morning glory), 122 nucleotides. RefSeq lists it as uncharacterized. The transcript has 3 exons. The record is from RefSeq and is a predicted model, not a curated record. Lineage: Eukaryota; Viridiplantae; Streptophyta; Magnoliopsida; Solanales; Convolvulaceae.